UUAAAAACAUUUAUUUUUUUCAGGGUGCAGGGGUCGUGACAUCAUGACAUCUACAAAAACGGUAGAAAAACCCAGGUUUGGUGCGGGGAGUGGGGGCAUUGUAAUUACGUCUCCAAAUGCUAACAGCUGUGGCAGCGCAUGCUCUCUUAGCCUCUGAAGAGGUCUCUGGGCGCUCACACUUGAAAAACCAUGAGGUUGGAACAAUCAUGUUAAUGCGCCUUUUUGGUUUUGGUGAAAAUUUCAGACAGUGUGACAUUAAUUAUUUGUCUUUGCACAGAAUGAUGAUGCUAAAGCCAGCCCCAUACAGUCCUGAUGCUCAGUACUUCCAGCAUGGGCUCUGUCCACCCUGCUCUCUGGGUCUACAUCCAGCCCUUCAGUUUUCACUAGGCAAAUCUGAGGAAAUGGUGCCAGUGGAGAGUGAAGGGCCCUGUGGAGUC
This 437-nucleotide long non-coding RNA is filed under the name Homo sapiens (human). RNAcentral describes it as "HSALNT0148848". The record is from RNAcentral. Lineage: Eukaryota; Metazoa; Chordata; Mammalia; Primates; Hominidae.